GGGGGGAGAAGGCAGCGGGGAGCGGGGGGAGGACGGCGCCGGGAGGGCUGGGCUGGGGGUGUCCUCCCUUCAGCCUGGGGGUGUCCUCUCCCCUCGGUCUGGGGGUGCCGCCUCUGCAGGUGCCUCGCCACGGCCCCCCCCGGAGGCGGAGGGGGGUAGGUGGGUGUGCGGGGGGGGGAUUUUGGCCGCCGGGCAAAGGGCUGAGUGUGGUAAGGGGGCAGAGAGAGCCCAAACGUGGGGCGGUGGAGAGCGGCCGUCGGGACGCGCCAAGGGAGAAGAUCCACGAGAGGGCAGUACACAGCAAGGGUAAAGGCAGACGCAGCUUACUGCAGGGAGCCUCGGGCAG
RNAcentral lists this long non-coding RNA (346 nucleotides) under Anser brachyrhynchus (Pink-footed goose). RNAcentral's name for it is "lncRNA (ENSABRG00000007082.1)". The record is from RNAcentral. Lineage: Eukaryota; Metazoa; Chordata; Aves; Anseriformes; Anatidae.